UACAGAGGUCUCAAGCGUUGUUCGGAAUUACUGGGCGUAAAGGGUGCGUAGGUGGCGGGGUAAGUCAGGUGUGAAAUCUCGGAGCUCAACUCCGAAACUGCACUUGAUACUGCCUUGCUCGAGUACUGGAGAGGAGAUUGGAAUUUACGGUGUAGCAGUGAAAUGCGUAGAUAUCGUAAGGAAGACCAGUGGCGAAGGCGAAUCUCUGGACAGUUACUGACACUGAGGCACGAAGGCCAGGGGAGCAAACAGG
Molecule: ribosomal RNA, 253 nt
Filed under: uncultured bacterium
Lineage: Bacteria
Description: partial 16S ribosomal RNA
Rfam family: Bacterial small subunit ribosomal RNA
Source: RNAcentral